RNAcentral lists this ribosomal RNA (440 nucleotides) under uncultured bacterium. RNAcentral's name for it is "partial 16S ribosomal RNA". It matches the Rfam family "Bacterial small subunit ribosomal RNA", at positions 338 to 795 of the family's 1533-position model. The record is from RNAcentral.
CCUACGGGAGGCAGCAGUAGGGAAUUUUGCGCAAUGGGCGAAAGCCUGACGCAGCAACGCCGCGUGAUCGAGACGCCCUUCGGGGUGUAAAGAUCUGUCAGUGGGGACGAAACUUGACGGUACCCACAGAGGAAGCACCGGCUAACUCCGUGCCAGCAGCCGCGGUAAUACGGGGGGUGCAAGCGUUGUCCGGAAUCAUUGGGCGUAAAGAGUUCGUAGGCGGCACGUAAAGUCUGGUGUUAAAGGCAGAGGCUCAACUUCUGUACGGCACUGGAUACUUGCGAGCUUGAAUGCGGUAGAGGUAAAGGGAAUUCCUGGUGUAGCGGUGAAAUGCGUAGAUAUCAGGAGGAACAUCGGUGGCGUAAGCGCUUUACUGGGCCGUAAUUGACACUGAGGAACGAAAGCCGGGGUAGCAAAUGGGAUUAGAUACCCUUGUAGUC